This 587-nucleotide ribosomal RNA is filed under the name uncultured bacterium. RNAcentral's name for it is "bacterial SSU rRNA". It matches the Rfam family "Bacterial small subunit ribosomal RNA", at positions 338 to 916 of the family's 1533-position model. The record is from RNAcentral.
CCUACGGGAGGCAGCAGUAGGGAAUCUUCCGCAAUGGACGAAAGUCUGACGGAGCAACGCCGCGUGAACGAUGAAGGCCUUCGGGUCGUAAAGUUCUGUUGUCAGGGAAGAACAAGUACCGGAGUAACUGCCGGUACCUUGACGGUACCUGACCAGAAAGCCACGGCUAACUACGUGCCAGCAGCCGCGGUAAUACGUAGGUGGCAAGCGUUGUUCGGAAUUAUUGGGCGUAAAGCGCGCGCAGGCGGUUCCUUAAGUCUGAUGUGAAAGCCCCCGGCUCAACCGGGGAGGGUCAUUGGAAACUGGGGAACUUGAGUGCAGAAGAGGAGAGCGGAAUUCCACGUGUAGCGGUGAAAUGCGUAGAGAUGUGGAGGAACACCAGUGGCGAAGGCGGCUCUCUGGUCUGUAACUGACGCUGAGGCGCGAAAGCGUGGGGAGCAAACAGGAUUAGAUACCCUGGUAGUCCACGCUGUAAACGAUGAGUGCUAAGUGUUAGAGGGUUUCCGCCCUUUAGUGCUGAAGUUAACGCAUUAAGCACUCCGCCUGGGGAGUACGGUCGCAAGACUGAAACUCAAAGGAAUUGACGG